AGCGAACGCUGGCGGCAGGCUUAACACAUGCAAGUCGAACGCCCUGGCAACAGGGAGUGGCAGACGGGUGAGUAACGCGUGGGAACGUGCCCUUCGGUUCGGAAUAACUCAGGGAAACUUGAGCUAAUACCGGAUACGUGCGAGAGCAGAAAGAUUUAUCGCCGAAGGAUCGGCCCGCGUCCGAUUAGCAAGUUGGUGAGGUAAUGGCUCACCAAGGCGACGAUCGGUAGCUGGUCUGAGAGGAUGAUCAGCCACACUGGGACUGAGACACGGCCCAGACUCCUACGGGAGGCAGCAGUGGGGAAUAUUGGACAAUGGGCGCAAGCCUGAUCCAGCCAUGCCGCGUGAGUGAUGAAGGCCCUAGGGUUGUAAAGCUCUUUCGCCAGGGACGAUAAUGACGGUACCUGGAUAAGAAGCCCCGGCUAACUUCGUGCCAGCCGCCGCAGUAA
This 449-nucleotide ribosomal RNA is filed under the name uncultured bacterium. RNAcentral's name for it is "partial 16S ribosomal RNA". It matches the Rfam family "Bacterial small subunit ribosomal RNA", at positions 29 to 523 of the family's 1533-position model. The record is from RNAcentral.